UCUUUCCCUUUUUAUUUAUGUAGACUCAGAGUUGCUCUGCAAAUUGCACCGAGAAGAACUGCAGUAAUGUUUUACAUAAAAGAGGAAACAACUUCUCUUCCUCCAGUGUACAGACUCUCCCUUCCUCACCUCUCAGUGCUCACCUUUAGGACAGCAUAUAAAGGAACUGAAGAGUUUCAGAUUAGUUCAACCAACCACAUAAACCAUUCUGUUCCUACGCCUAGUGAUUCAUGGGGCCCACUCUAUGGGCUGACUGUAAUAAGAAGGAAGUGGGGGGGGGGAAUCUCUCAUCUACAUUUUAUUGUGGGGGUUCUUAACCUUUGGUAUUUCACAGCAGGUGUAUAAAUUUCUAAAGCUUCCUACAUACCUAAAGAGAGAGUAAAAACAGGCAAAGGGUCAGUAGCAGGGCAGGAGUAAGAUAAGUCUCAGGCCGGGUGUGGUGGCUCAAAGCCUGUAAUCCCAGCACUUUGGGAGGUCGAGGUGGGAGGAUCACUUGACCCCCCCCAGAGUUCAAGACCAGCAUGGGCAACAUGGUGAGACCUCGUUUCUAUAGAAAAAAAAAUUUUUUUAAAGUCAGGUAUGGUGGCACAUGCCAGUAGUCCCAGCUACUCAGGAGGCUGAGAAGGGAGGACUGCUUGAGCCUGGGAGGUCAAGGCUGCAGUGAGCUGUGACUGCACCACUGCACUGCAGCCUGGGUGACAAAGAUCCCAUCUCUAAAAUAAAGAUAGGUCACAGAAGAACAAAAGAAGAAACUGGGAAGAGGCUUUUGAAAAGCAUUUGAGAGCAGAGAGAAUAAAUAAAGCAAAG
This 807-nucleotide long non-coding RNA is filed under the name Homo sapiens (human). RNAcentral describes it as "non-protein coding lnc-ADORA2B-1:1". The record is from RNAcentral. Lineage: Eukaryota; Metazoa; Chordata; Mammalia; Primates; Hominidae.